Non-coding RNA from Acanthosepion pharaonis, 98 nucleotides. NCBI's taxonomy places the organism in Eukaryota, Metazoa, Mollusca, Cephalopoda, Sepiida, Sepiidae. The record is from the annotation of a GenBank genome assembly.
AUUAAAACACCAGUUCUCAUACGAUCACCGAAGUUAAGUAACGUCAAGCCUGAUCAGUACGUAGGAGGGUAACCGCUUGGGAAUAUCAGAUGCUGUAA